RNAcentral lists this long non-coding RNA (348 nucleotides) under Gallus gallus (chicken). The record is from RNAcentral. Lineage: Eukaryota; Metazoa; Chordata; Aves; Galliformes; Phasianidae.
UGUGGCGAAGCAGUGUUGGAGAUAAAGUGCACUUUGGUUGCAGGCCAUGCUGUGCAGAAGCACCUUCAGCACCCCGCCGAGGAUACUCUCUUUGGACUCCGUCACAGAAACAGUCUGUACAACUAUCUCUAGUGUAUCCAAAAUAAUUAGAUUUGCUUCUGUUGCAAGAUUUCCAUCAAUAAGUGCUUCAUGUUCUAUCUCUGCUCGUGACUUGUCAAGCUUCUCUGUGUUUUGACGCCAGUGAGUCAUAUCCUUUCUCCAUCUCAAAUUCUCUUGACUUCCAAAAGCGCUCCCAGAAGGACUUCUCUCUAACUGCCCUCUGCUUCUUCGGACCAUUUCCUGCCUUGC